AGGAAGAGGUAACUCUGAAAUUCUUCUAGCGGCGGACGGGUGAGUAACGCGUGAGCAAUCUUUCCUAGACAGGGGGAUAACGCAUCGAAAGGUGCACUAAUACCGCAUAAGACCACAGUUCCACAUGGGAUAGGGGUCAAAGGAGAAAUCCGGUUUAGGGUGAGCUCGCGUCUGAUUAGCUAGUUGGUGGGGUAACGGCCUACCAAGGCGACGAUCAGUAGCCGACCUGAGAGGGUGAUCGGCCACACUGGGACUGAGACACGGCCCAGACUCCUACGGGAGGCAGCAGUGGGGAAUAUUGGGCAAUGGGGGAAACCCUGACCCAGCAACGCCGCGUGAGGGAAGAAGGUCUUCGGAUCGUAAACCUCUGUCCUCAAUGAAGAGCAGAAGACGGUAAUUGAGGAGGAAGCCCCGGCUAACUACGUGCCAGCAGCCGCGGUAAUACGUAGGGGGCAAGCGUUAUCCGGAAUGAUUGGGCGUAAAGGGCGCGUAGGCGGCCAUUUAAGAAUGGAGUGAAAGUCCUGCUUUUAAGGUGGGAAUUGCUUUGUUAACUGAAUGGCUUGAGUGUAGGAGAGGUUAGUGGAAUUCCCGGUGUAGCGGUGAAAUGCGUA
This 611-nucleotide ribosomal RNA is filed under the name uncultured bacterium. RNAcentral describes it as "bacterial SSU rRNA". It matches the Rfam family "Bacterial small subunit ribosomal RNA", at positions 70 to 692 of the family's 1533-position model. The record is from RNAcentral.